UGGGGAAUUUUGGACAAUGGGGGCAACCCUGAUCCAGCCAUUCCGCGUGAGUGAAGAAGGCCUUCGGGUUGUAAAGCUCUUUCAGGUGGAAAGAAAACGCAUAGGUUAAUACCUUGUUCGGUUGACGGUACCAUCAGAAGAAGCACCGGCUAACUACGUGCCAGCAGCCGCGGUAAUACGUAGGGUGCGAGCGUUAAUCGGAAUUACUGGGCGUAAAGCGUGCGCAGGCGGUGAUGUAAGACAGAUGUGAAAUCCCCGGGCUCAACCUGGGACCUGCAUUUGAGACUGCAUCGCUAGAGUGCGGCAGAGGAGGAUGGAAUUCCGCGUGUAGCAGUGAAAUGCGUAGAUAUGCGGAGGAACACCGAUGGCGAAGGCAAUCCCCUGGGCCUGCACUGACGCUCAUGCACGAAAGCGUGGGGAGCAAACA
This 427-nucleotide ribosomal RNA is filed under the name uncultured bacterium. RNAcentral describes it as "bacterial SSU rRNA". It matches the Rfam family "Bacterial small subunit ribosomal RNA", at positions 355 to 774 of the family's 1533-position model. The record is from RNAcentral.